CAGUCGAGCGGUAACAGAUCUAGCUUGCUAGAUGCUGACGAGCGGCGGACGGGUGAGUAAUGCAUAGGAAUCUGCCCGAUAGUGGGGGAUAACCUGGGGAAACCCAGGCUAAUACCGCAUACGUCCUACGGGAGAAAGGGGGCUCCGGCUCCCGCUAUUGGAUGAGCCUAUGUCGGAUUAGCUAGUUGGUAAGGUAAUGGCUUACCAAGGCGACGAUCCGUAGCUGGUCUGAGAGGAUGAUCAGCCACAUCGGGACUGAGACACGGCCCGAACUCCUACGGGAGGCAGCAGUGGGGAAUAUUGGACAAUGGGGGCAACCCUGAUCCAGCCAUGCCGCGUGUGUGAAGAAGGCCCUCGGGUUGUAAAGCACUUUCAGCGAGGAAGAACGCCUGUCGGUUAAUACCCGGCAGGAAAGACAUCACUCGCAGAAGAAGCACCGGCUAACUCCGUGCCAGCAGCCGCGGUAAUACGGAGGGUGCAAGCGUUAAUCGGAAUUACUGGGCGUAAAGCGCGCGUAGGUGGCUUGAUAAGCCGGUUGUGAAAGCCCCGGGCUCAACCUGGGAACGGCAUCCGGAACUGUCAGGCUAGAGUGCAGGAGAGGAAGGUAGAAUUCCCGGUGUAGCGGUGAAAUGCGUAGAGAUCGGGAGGAAUACCAGUGGCGAAGGCGGCCUUCUGGACUGACACUGACACUGAGGUGCGAAAGCGUGGGUAGCAAACAGGAUUAGAUACCCUGGUAGUCCACGCCGUAAACGAUGUCGACCAGCCGUUGGGUGCCUAGAG
This 780-nucleotide ribosomal RNA is filed under the name uncultured bacterium. Its description in RNAcentral is "bacterial SSU rRNA". It matches the Rfam family "Bacterial small subunit ribosomal RNA", at positions 59 to 836 of the family's 1533-position model. The record is from RNAcentral.